AGUGAACGCUGGCGGUCGGCCUAACACAUGCAAGUCGAACGGCAGCACAGAGGAUCUUGCUCCAUGGGUGGCGAGUGGCGGACGGGGGAGGAAUACAUCGGAAUCUACUCUGUCGUGGGGGAUAACGUAGGGAAACUUACGCUAAUACCGCAUACGACCUACGGGUGAAAGCAGGGGAUCUUCGGACCUUGCGCGAUUGAAUGAGCCGAUGUCGGAUUAGGUAGUUGGCGGGGUAAAGGCCCACCAAGGCGACGAUCCGUAGCUGGUCUGAGAGGAUGAUCAGCCACACUGGAACUGAGACACGGUCCAGGCUCCUACGGGAGGAAGCAGUGGGGAAUAUUGGACAAUGGGCGCAAGCCUGAUCCAGCCAUACCGCGUGGGUGAAGAAGGCCUUCGGGUUGUAAAGCCCUUUUGUUGGGAAGGAAAUCCAUAUGGUUAAUACCCGGGUGGGAUGACGGUACCCAAAGAAUAAGCACCGGCUAACUCCGUGCCAGCCGCCGCGGUAA
Molecule: ribosomal RNA, 506 nt
Filed under: uncultured bacterium
Lineage: Bacteria
Description: partial 16S ribosomal RNA
Rfam family: Bacterial small subunit ribosomal RNA
Source: RNAcentral